UAUUCUCUUCUUCUCACUUCUCACGAUGGUCACCGGAAAACAUGGCUCCCUUCUACUUCGCGACGCUCACCAGAGAAGGCUGCUACCCAAUAUUGCAUCUAUUUCAACUUUCGUCGUUGUUGUAAAACCGCACGACGGUGUUUUAAUUCCUAACCUCGACGGCAGAAGCUCGGUGAUAUUGAUUAAUAGCUGACGGUGGCCGAACAGAUUUUACAACGAUGGAAUGAAUAUGAGACAGAGCUUAGGAUUCAGAUGAUUUUGGAUGAAUUCAUGUCUUUGAUGUAACAAGUGAAAGCAAGAGAAGUAGACAAAGCAAGUAUUACUAAAGUCAUACAAGAAACAUAGAGAAAGAAUUGACACAAGUUGUAUUAAAUUGUAAUAUUUACUACUGAAACAUAGAGGCUGGAUAUGUUGCACAUAAGUCAUACAAGAAAUACAGAGAAAGAAUUGACACAAGAAGUGUCUUGCUA
Long non-coding RNA from Trifolium pratense (red clover), 470 nucleotides. RefSeq lists it as uncharacterized. Lineage: Eukaryota; Viridiplantae; Streptophyta; Magnoliopsida; Fabales; Fabaceae. The record is from RefSeq and is a predicted model, not a curated record. The transcript has 2 exons.